UGUUAAAAAUUUCAUUCAUUUUUACCAUUAAAAACUAGCAUAGCUGACGGAAUAUGCUUCAUGUCGGCGUAUACAGACUAGUUUUUAACGGUAAAAAUGGAUGAAAUUUUUAAUA
Non-coding RNA from Gossypium hirsutum (cotton), 115 nucleotides. NCBI's taxonomy places the organism in Eukaryota, Viridiplantae, Streptophyta, Magnoliopsida, Malvales, Malvaceae. The record is from Rfam.